AAUGGGAUAGCUGGGUCAAGUGGUGGUUCCAUUCCCAGAUUUCCAAGGAAUCUCCAUACUGCUUUCUAUAUUGGUUGCACCAAUUUGCAGUCCUACCAGCAAU
This 103-nucleotide microRNA precursor is filed under the name Marmota monax (woodchuck). The record is from RNAcentral. Lineage: Eukaryota; Metazoa; Chordata; Mammalia; Rodentia; Sciuridae.